UUAUCGUUAGUUGCCAGCGGGUCGAUGCCGGGAACGUACUAACGAAAACUAGCCGGUGUAAACCGUGAGGAAGGUGGGGAUGACGUCAAAUCAGCACGGCCCUUAUGUCCAGGGCUACACACGUGUUACAAUGGCCGGUACAGAGGGCAGCUACCUGGAGACAGGAUGCGAAUCUCCAAAGCCGGUCUCAGUUCGGAUCGGAGUCUGCAACUCGACUCCGUGAAGCUGGAUUCGCUAGUAAUCGCGCAUCAGCCAUGGCGCGGUGAAUACGUUCCCGGGCCUU
Molecule: ribosomal RNA, 283 nt
Filed under: uncultured Sphingobacteriales bacterium
Lineage: Bacteria; Pseudomonadati; Bacteroidota; Sphingobacteriia; Sphingobacteriales
Description: partial 16S ribosomal RNA
Rfam family: Bacterial small subunit ribosomal RNA
Source: RNAcentral